UGGGGAAUAUUGGACAAUGGGCGAAAGCCUGAUCCAGCCAUGCCGCGUGAGUGAAGAAGGUCUUCGGAUUGUAAAGCUCUUUUGGCGGGGAAGAUGAUGACUGUACCCGCAGAAUAAGCCCCAGCUAACUUCGUGCCAGCAGCCGCGGUAAUACGAAGGGGGCUAGCGUUGUUCGGAAUCACUGGGCGUAAAGCGCGCGCAGGUGGCUUGUUAAGACAGAAGUGAAAGCCUGGGGCUUAACCCCAGAAUUGCUUUUGUGACUGGCGAGCUAGAAUCUGGGAGGGGAAUGCGGAAUACCGAGUGUAGAGGUGAAAUUCGUAGAUAUUCGGUGGAACACCAAUGGCGAAGGCAGCAUUCUGGAACAUGAUUGACACUGAGGCGCGAAAGCGUGGGGAGCAAA
RNAcentral lists this ribosomal RNA (400 nucleotides) under uncultured bacterium. RNAcentral describes it as "bacterial SSU rRNA". It matches the Rfam family "Bacterial small subunit ribosomal RNA", at positions 355 to 772 of the family's 1533-position model. The record is from RNAcentral.